UGGGGAAUCUUCCGCAAUGGACGAAAGUCUGACGGAGCAACGCCGCGUGAGUGAUGACGGCCUUCGGGUUGUAAAGCUCUGUUAAUCGGCACGAAUGGUUCUUGUGCGAAUAGUGCAAGGAUUUGACGGUACCGGAAUAGAAAGCCACGGCUAACUACGUGCCAGCAGCCGCGGUAAUACGUAGGUGGCAAGCGUUGUCCGGAAUUAUUGGGCGUAAAGCGCGCGCAGGCGGAUUGGUCAGUCUGUCUUAAAAGUUCGGGGCUUAACCCCGUGAUGGGAUGGAAACUGCCAAUCUAGAGUAUCGGAGAGGAAAGUGGAAUUCCUAGUGUAGCGGUGAAAUGCGUAGAUAUUAGGAAGAACACCAGUGGCGAAGGCGACUUUCUGGACGAAAACUGACGCUGAGGCGCGAAAGCCAGGGGAGCGAACGGG
RNAcentral lists this ribosomal RNA (429 nucleotides) under bacterium. RNAcentral's name for it is "partial 16S ribosomal RNA". It matches the Rfam family "Bacterial small subunit ribosomal RNA", at positions 355 to 776 of the family's 1533-position model. The record is from RNAcentral.